CCUACGGGAGGCAGCAGUGGGGAAUAUUGGACAAUGGGCGAAAGCCUGAUCCAGCCAUGCCGCGUGUGUGAAGAAGGCCUUCGGGUUGUAAAGCACUUUCAGUGGGGAAGAAAGCCUUGGGGCUAAUACCCUCGAGGAAGGACAUCACCCACAGAAGAAGCACCGGCUAACUCCGUGCCAGCAGCCGCGGUAAUACGGAGGGUGCGAGCGUUAAUCGGAAUUACUGGGCGUAAAGCGCGCGUAGGCGGUCUGAUAAGCCGGUUGUGAAGGCCCCGGGCUCAACCUGGGAACGGCAUCCGGAACUGUCAGGCUAGAGUGCAGGAGAGGAAGGUAGAAUUCCCGGUGUAGCGGUGAAAUGCGUAGAGAUCGGGAGGAAUACCAGUGGCGAAGGCGGCCUUCUGGACUGACACUGACGCUGAGGUGCGAAAGCGUGGGUAGCAAACAGGAUUAGAUACCCUGGUAGUC
RNAcentral lists this ribosomal RNA (465 nucleotides) under Vreelandella stevensii. RNAcentral describes it as "partial 16S ribosomal RNA". It matches the Rfam family "Bacterial small subunit ribosomal RNA", at positions 338 to 795 of the family's 1533-position model. The record is from RNAcentral. Lineage: Bacteria; Pseudomonadati; Pseudomonadota; Gammaproteobacteria; Oceanospirillales; Halomonadaceae.